CAGGAAAAAUCAUUAUAUUCCUUCCAUCUUUGCCAAAAGCUGUGGUGUUUGAGCAGCCAAAGCCAGGAGGCUUCAGCACCAGGGCUCUGCCCUGGAGGGCUCCUGCUCCUGCCUGUGCUGUGGGGGAGAAGAACACAUC
Catharus ustulatus (Swainson's thrush) is the source of this 139-nucleotide long non-coding RNA. RefSeq lists it as uncharacterized. Lineage: Eukaryota; Metazoa; Chordata; Aves; Passeriformes; Turdidae. The record is from RefSeq and is a predicted model, not a curated record. The transcript is spliced from 3 exons.